Molecule: long non-coding RNA, 932 nt
Filed under: Androctonus crassicauda
Lineage: Eukaryota; Metazoa; Arthropoda; Arachnida; Scorpiones; Buthidae
Source: RNAcentral
AUUAAAGUAAAUAAUGUAGAAUACUAUAAUUUAAUUUUAAUAAAGAAAUUUAUUAAAUUUAUAUAACAAAUUAUAAUUUGAAAACGUUUUCGGUUUCGCAGUCAGAAGUCCAGAAUAUUUUAUCUAUUUUUAGUAUACUCGGGUUGAAGGAAAGGGAAACUAAAAGUCAACAUCACAUUCGCUUUGUGUUCCUCUUAAUGACUGUUGAACCCUUUGAUAUAGAAUUUGAUGAAAAUUUACAAGUGAAAUAUAGGGUAGCGGAUGAUGAGCAGAAUUUUUAAUCUACUGGCAAUUGUUUCAAAAUGGCUCUCCCGUAAGUAAUGUGAAAGAAUGCAGUUUUGGAAGGAUUUCUGAUUAUCUAGCAUUGGCCUAUACGGUUGGGUGAGAAUAGACUAAUCAAAAACUAUCAAAAUUUCUAGUAUAUAAUAAUUAAAAACUAUUACAUUAUGUUUGCAGAAAUUAAUGCUAAAUAAUUUCCAAGAUUCUUGGAUUAUGGUCAAAUAGCACUAGGAUAUACGAUGGUGGUACUUUAUAGCCUAUGGCCUAUCAGCAAACUUGGUUAUAAGGAUUGCUCUAUAGUGAAAGGAAUGGAAUUUUUUUAUGUGACUUUCCAUCCGAUGAAUAAUAAACAGCAAAGCAUUCUGGUACCGAUCUGUGAUGGAAUCAAUCGUCAGAUGGAAGAUAGGAUUCAACCAGUUGGGAUAGGAUCCCUUCUGAGAAAAUCCUGGGAGUAUGAGGCCGGGAAAUGAAGUGUAUUAGCACAGCCAGCUUCCAUUAAAGUUUUCCUUCCGGCUGACAGAAAAAUUUGGAAGUGUAAGACACAGAGCCUUCCGGGUGGAAGUUUAGCAGGCUUCUACAUCUUCAUUCAAUCUUUAUAAAUAAUUUAAAAACAUUCGUUUAUUUUAACAGUAUUUUAUAUUAUGAGAUAGCGA